UCCGAGGGAUGCAAUCGUUAUCCGGAAUUAUUGGGCGUAAAGCGUUUGUAGGCGGGCGAGUGUGUUUAAUGUUAAAUCUUAAAGCUCAACUUUGAAAUUGCGUUAAAAACUGCUUGGCUUGAGUAUGGUAGGGGUAAAGGGAAUUCCCAGUGUAGCGGUGAAAUGCGUAGAUAUUGGGAAGAACACUAAGCAGCGAAGGCACUUUACUAGGCUAAUACUGACGCUGAGAAACGAAAGGUAAGGUAGCGAAACGG
RNAcentral lists this ribosomal RNA (254 nucleotides) under uncultured bacterium. RNAcentral's name for it is "partial 16S ribosomal RNA". It matches the Rfam family "Bacterial small subunit ribosomal RNA", at positions 524 to 776 of the family's 1533-position model. The record is from RNAcentral.